ACUCCUUCCUAAAUUUUGGGUGGCUAAGCUCAAAAAAACAGUUGUAAAUAUUUCUGCAAAGCUUAAAAAAACAGCUAAUGCAUCAAUAAAUGCUUUCCAAAAGUUGCAACAAAAAAUUUAUAAAGUAGCAAAAGUAACGUUGCAAAAUAAACAUAUGCUAAAUGCCAUAAAUGCUAAAUUAAAAAAAGUUUGUGCUCGCAUCAAA
Chelonoidis abingdonii (Abingdon island giant tortoise) is the source of this 205-nucleotide non-coding RNA. NCBI's taxonomy places the organism in Eukaryota, Metazoa, Chordata, Testudines, Testudinidae. The record is from RefSeq and is a predicted model, not a curated record.